GUUGGUUUUACCCGAAGACGGUGCGCUAACCGCAARGARGYAGCCGGCCACGGUARGGUCAGCGACUGGGGUGAAGUCGUAACAAGGUAGCCGUAGGUGAACCUGCAGAAGGAUCA
This 116-nucleotide ribosomal RNA is filed under the name uncultured eukaryote. RNAcentral describes it as "partial small subunit ribosomal RNA". The record is from RNAcentral.